This 427-nucleotide ribosomal RNA is filed under the name uncultured bacterium. Its description in RNAcentral is "partial 16S ribosomal RNA". It matches the Rfam family "Bacterial small subunit ribosomal RNA", at positions 355 to 774 of the family's 1533-position model. The record is from RNAcentral.
UAGGGAAUCUUCCGCAAUGGGCGAAAGCCCGACGGAGCAACGCCGCGUGAGUGAUGAAGGUCUUCGGAUCGUAAAACUCUGUUAUUAGGGAAGAACAUACGUGUAAGUAACUAUGCACGUCUUGACGGUACCUAAUCAGAAAGCCACGGCUAACUACGUGCCAGCAGCCGCGGUAAUACGUAGGUGGCAAGCGUUAUCCGGAAUUAUUGGGCGUAAAGCGCGCGUAGGCGGUUUUUUAAGUCUGAUGUGAAAGCCCACGGCUCAACCGUGGAGGGUCAUUGGAAACUGGAAAACUUGAGUGCAGAAGAGGAAAGUGGAAUUCCAUGUGUAGCGGUGAAAUGCGCAGAGAUAUGGAGGAACACCAGUGGCGAAGGCGACUUUCUGGUCUGUAACUGACGCUGAUGUGCGAAAGCGUGGGGAUCAAACA